Molecule: non-coding RNA, 1927 nt
Organism: Coturnix japonica (Japanese quail)
Lineage: Eukaryota; Metazoa; Chordata; Aves; Galliformes; Phasianidae
Source: RefSeq, a predicted model, not a curated record
GUAUUCCUCCAAUCAGAAGCAGUUCGUUUCAAUCGUGAGAUUGAAGUUAACUUUACCAACUGUGUGCCUUCGAAAGAAUCUACCCAGCCUCGGCUCUGUUUGUUUACUUGAGACUGUAACUUCGCAUUUACGAGUUCAGCAAGACCUGAAGUGACUUGCUCCACACAGCUGUUCAGUGUUGCCCUACACACCAAUAACCCUUUAGUAUAAUAAAAUAGAUGUCUUUGCUUCUUUACUAGAAGUUACAGAGAAGCCUUCUGAUCACCCAGCUAUGAAAAGCACCGUGACUGGUUCUGCCCAGAAGCUGCAUGAAUACAUGUGGAGCAGAAAAGUUGCUCUUUAUAGCCAGCUGUAAAAUCUUUCAAGCCCUGUGAACGUUCAGCAUGAGAAGGCUUUUCUCACUGGCAUUUUCUAAGAUAUAGAUUAACUUCAGCAUACCACCCUUCAGCAGUAUGCGUGAGUCAAGAUUACCCUCCAAGCUUAUGCUAUAUCGAUGAAACUCAAAGUCAGCCGAUCCGUUUCAAGAACAAAAGCAGUGUUUGGUUCCAGUCAGCUGCCAGAGAACAUGCUCCAGAUUUGACAAACGUUGCAGUUAGUUGCUUUUGUGAGUUCAGUGCACAGUGCAAAUGCUGUAAAAUGUUUUUCACAUGAUGCAAUAUUGCCAGCAGAUAAUCAUUGGAGCAUUAAACCAAGAGAAUUUCUGUAUAUCCUACAAGCUGCAGGAGGAUAAGAAAAAGUAAACAGAAACUACGAGCUGAAUUUUUCAGAUGAUGCCAUUCCUCCUCUUGCACUUAACUGAUUUGUUUUUAAAUGUUACUUUUUGGCUGUUUCUCUAGGAUCUGAUUAAAAAAUCCUAAAUCAGUGUGGAAAUGCUUUUUUGUUUCUGUCCUAGUUUUGACUGUGUGAAUUUUUCAGAACAUUUUCAGUUUAAUUAUGCAGCACUAAAAAUUGCAAUUAAACUGAAUUUGCAAUGGAAACUGCUCAUUUUAGUUAACUGUCAAAUUUGCUGUUGCAUUGUGAAAUCGAGGCCUUUAUUAUUGUGAGGUGUUUUGGAAAAAAUUACUUUUUAAACAGGGGGAAAAUGUCAAAUCUCUCAGUUCUAUCACAAUGAGCUACUGAUUUGAAGAGAAACCCAAACAAUGAAGCUAGUAACUCUCUAAACACAAUGGAAUCUUUUCCAGGUGGUGUCUUGAAUUAGUUGGAUACCGCAAGCAUGGAGAGUAUUGAGUGAAAUCCUUUUCUGCAUCUUUAAUCUGUUUUAUGAAGUGCAUCUUCAAAAGGGAAGUACAAAGGAAGACAACUCUGUUUUAUACGUAUUGGAUACAGAGGCACUAUGGUUUCUUGUGAGCAUUUCUCAUGGUGUAGAGCAGAUCUUUCAGAUCCUUGGGACAGCUUUGCCCUUGCAUUGAAAUGAUUCCAAAUAUUGGGCUGUCUUGGAGAGAAGGAAAAAAAAGAAAAAGAAAAAAAAAAAAAGAAAUAUGGCUUCCUGAUGUGGAAUCCUGAAGUGGAAUCAUUUCAAAUAAGAGGGGCAUCGGUGCAUGUGGCUUUCCUGCUCUGUUUAGUAGCUGAAGAGCUGAGUUGUUGGUAAAAGAAAAGAAGGUGCUGAUCAAGGAAUAGAUCUGUCCUGUAAUGACUAGGCCAUCUCUGGGAAGAGACCAUUGCGAGCCUUCUAUUCUGCACGUUCAGCUAAAGAUUUGCACAUAGCUUGUGAGAAGCAGCAUCACUGCCCUCCUGGGUGAUUAAUGCAGGGACAUGGAGCUUGCCUUAAGACACACCAGCAAUUUUCCGUAACCAAUUCACCUUCAGGAGUAGAAGAACUCUGAAUCAUCUAUAGUGGUUAUUCCAGAAGCUCAGACUGCUGCUUUCUUUCUUUCCCUUCUCCCAGCAUGGUUUCUGCAGCAAAAAAAAAAACCAAAAAAAAACCAAA